Girardinichthys multiradiatus is the source of this 584-nucleotide long non-coding RNA. RefSeq lists it as uncharacterized. The record is from RefSeq and is a predicted model, not a curated record. NCBI's taxonomy places the organism in Eukaryota, Metazoa, Chordata, Actinopteri, Cyprinodontiformes, Goodeidae. The transcript has 3 exons.
UCUGAUGCAUCCUCAGGAGGGGGAGAUGGAGUCUCUCUCUCUCUCGGAAGGAGGGAUGAAGGCUGUUCUCCCUACCAGAUUGGCUGAGGUCUGGCCUCUUUCGGUGCCAGCGCUAUCACAGCUAAGCCACAGGGCAUGUUCUCCAGAUUGCCUGGCAGGGGCCACCAGAAUCCUGGUAUUUGAAGAGUUAAUAAUGCUGUGAAGUCUAACAAGGUUUCCAGGGCCUUUAGAAGAGGAUCGGGUCUGCGGCGUCUCAGAUCCGGCGCUGGAGCUGGCGGAGUAUGAGGAGGCUGUUUGAUCAGGAGCAACAGGCUGCCUCCCUUGUUCCAUACCUCUCUCCCUCUCCCUCACCCCACCCCACCCCUUUCCCUUCUCCCUCAUCUCUCGCUCUGAACUCCUUCCCCACCCCGCUCCGUCCCUCCCUCCUUCUUUCCUUUACCGAGCGCUGACAUCAGAAGUGGGAUGAGUCGGUUUGCCAAAAGCUUUGAAGAGAAUUCCAUGGCAACCGCAUAUCCUGUUCUUCCUGUUCACCUUUAAAUGGGAAUAAUCACCAUUUUUCUUACUAAUAAAUUCAUGUGAAGGUU